RNAcentral lists this long non-coding RNA (1241 nucleotides) under Mytilus galloprovincialis (Mediterranean mussel). The record is from RNAcentral. Lineage: Eukaryota; Metazoa; Mollusca; Bivalvia; Mytilida; Mytilidae.
UUUUGUGCACAGAUCAGGUUUCAGAUACGGUUAGUAAUAGGACAACUAGUCUCUAAUUAGUGCAAAGAAUGUAAUUCUGGCAGGCUUUAUUUGACUGUGACCUUAUUUAACUUGCUCAUAUGAAAACUGUAGCAAGGUUUGAUUAUCAUCAUAACCUGCAGUUCUUAGUGCUGUUUAGAAUUUUAACAAUAUACCUUUUUGUAUUUCAAUUUAUUUCUAAGACAAGAAAAAACAUGUGUAAACGAGUAAAAUCUUCCAAGCCAAUGACUUCUGUUGCAGUAAGCAAGACUUGGGGAAAGUUUUCUAGCAGUGGAAGCUUCAAUACGACACAAAAUGCAAAUUAUUAUAGCAGGUCGACGACCUGGAAGCUUCAUACUUUGUGUAAAUAUUUUUCAGCAGGAGAUAUAUUUCGUAUGUGCUUAUCUUGCAAGGUCCUCUUGCCUGUCAAUAGUUGUUUACUUUACCUUGACCUCAUCUCAUGGAGCAAUGAAUGAGAAGGUUUUUGUGAUCCAAUUUACAUUACAGAUACAUUAAGUAACAGGUCUCCAUUUGGUUAUGAAAUGAUUGUAGGUUGUACAUGUUUAAUUGGCAGUCAUUUGACCAUGACCUCAUUUUCUUGGUUUUAAGUGCACGUGGUACAAGUUAAAUUCUUAGUGUUUAGAUCAGUUUUUCUGAAAUUGGAUGAAAUUAUAUCUGGGGUAUGGAAAACAUUUUAUGAUGCAAACAUCAGUCAGACAUGAUUUAUUUUUAUUUUACCUUGACCUAAAUUUCAGUUCACUCAAUAUUUUGUUUUUAUAUAUUGGUUCCUUUUUCUUAUACUUUAUUCUUUAAGCAAAAGGUAAUCUAUAUUUGGUCUCAUCCCACCUUGACCUCUUUUUUAAUGGUCUGUUAGUCAAUAGAAGUUUUCAUAAUUUUGUAUGUUUCUUGUAUAUCAUCAGCAAUAUAUUGACUUAAAGAUGAUUACACAAGUUUUGGAAUUUCCAUACCCUCUUACUAGUAUUGUAUUUGUUUGUCAUAUGCAUGCUUUUACCGUUUCCUAAAACAACUUUUCUAUGUUUUUGUUGUGAUUUUGAAUGUGUUUUAGAAUCAUUUACAAAUACAUAUGUAUUGUCAUCUUUUUACUCUUCAUUAAAAAUAAUGCAAAUGAUCAUGUGCCUUUCUAUGUUGUGAUGUUACACUAUUUUUUAAGUUAAGGAGGUUGGUACCUAUUAAAACAUUCAACUCCACUGCAUUUGUUUGCA